This 73-nucleotide transfer RNA is filed under the name Paramuricea clavata. It matches the Rfam family "tRNA". Rfam says of the family: Transfer RNA (tRNA) molecules are approximately 80 nucleotides in length. The record is from Rfam by way of RNAcentral. Lineage: Eukaryota; Metazoa; Cnidaria; Anthozoa; Malacalcyonacea; Plexauridae.
GACCACGUAGCUCAGUUGGCAGAGCAUUGGGCUAGUAUUCGAAAGGUCCUAGGUUCGAUUCCCACCGUGGCCA